This 558-nucleotide long non-coding RNA is filed under the name Nicotiana benthamiana. Its description in RNAcentral is "long non-coding RNA (NBEN_LNC032320)". Lineage: Eukaryota; Viridiplantae; Streptophyta; Magnoliopsida; Solanales; Solanaceae. The record is from RNAcentral.
GCGUUUAUAAGAAGAAGCGUUUUAUAAAGUCCAUGUGAAUAAGAGUAGUUCUGCAAAAUCUAACUCUACUUUGGUGUCACCUAGCUACUAAAUAUGAUAUUACCUUAAUUAAAUCUUUGUUUUCCAUUACUUUAAAACAUAGUGUUUUGGAACAUGAAUAUACAAUGUAAGUAGCAUGUGUUGGCAAACGUUAGAAAAUAUGUAAGCAUUAGAAAAAGGAAAUUACAUAAGUAGAUACUGAAUGUAAUUAAUAGUGAAGUACUCUGAGUAGCAGAAUGUCAUAGCACAUCCCCAAUAACACCACGAAAUGGACAGCGAAAAGCAGCAGUAACUCAAGAAUACCUCCGAAACCCAAUAAGAAAUUACUUGAACUAACAACUAGUAACCCCAGAAAUUACUUAAAAGAUCCUUUUGCUUUUCCAAAAUAAUUUCACACAAACAAUACUCACAAAAGAUCUGAAAUUUUAGUCUGUCAUAUGUGCACAGCGCUGCUGAUUUUCUUCAAGAUAUAUGCCAAUUUUUUGAGUGUAAAAGAUGUGUAAAGAUGUUCACCCCCCC